GACGAACGCUGGCGGCGUGCCUAAUACAUGCAAGUAGAACGCUGAAGGAGGAGCUUGCUCUUCUGGAUGAGUUGCGAACGGGUGAGUAACGCGUAGGUAACCUGCCUGGUAGCGGGGGAUAACUAUUGGAAACGAUAGCUAAUACCGCAUAAGAGUAGAUGUUGCAUGACAUUUGCUUAAAAGGUGCAAUUGCAUCACUACCAGAUGGACCUGCGUUGUAUUAGCUAGUUGGUGGGGUAACGGCUCACCAAGGCGACGAUACAUAGCCGACCUGAGAGGGUGAGCGGCCACGCGGGGACUGAGACACGGCCCAGACUCCUACGGGAGGCAGCAGUAGGGAAUCUUCGGCAAUGGACGGAAGUCUGACCGAGCAACGCCGCGUGAGUGAAGAAGGUUUUCGGAGCGUAAAGCUCUGUUGUAAGAGAAGAACGAGUGUGAGAGUGGAAAGUUCACACUGUGACGGUAUCUUACCAGAAAGGGACGGCUAACUACGUG
RNAcentral lists this ribosomal RNA (495 nucleotides) under uncultured bacterium. Its description in RNAcentral is "partial 16S ribosomal RNA". It matches the Rfam family "Bacterial small subunit ribosomal RNA", at positions 28 to 507 of the family's 1533-position model. The record is from RNAcentral.